UGCGGGAUAGAGCAGAUGGCAGCUCGUUGGUCUCAUAAGCUAAAGAUACUGGGUUCGACUCCCAGAUGCGCAA
RNAcentral lists this transfer RNA (73 nucleotides) under Caudoviricetes sp. RNAcentral describes it as "tRNA-Met". It matches the Rfam family "tRNA". Rfam says of the family: Transfer RNA (tRNA) molecules are approximately 80 nucleotides in length. Their secondary structure includes four short double-helical elements and three loops (D, anti-codon, and T loops). Further hydrogen bonds mediate the characteristic L-shaped molecular structure. tRNAs have two regions of fundamental functional importance: the anti-codon, which is responsible for specific mRNA codon recognition, and the 3' end, to which the tRNAs corresponding amino acid is attached (by aminoacyl-tRNA synthetases). tRNAs cope with the degeneracy of the genetic code in two manners: having more than one tRNA (with a specific anti-codon) for a particular amino acid; and 'wobble' base-pairing, i.e. permitting non-standard base-pairing at the 3rd anti-codon position. Lineage: Duplodnaviria; Heunggongvirae; Uroviricota; Caudoviricetes. The record is from RNAcentral.